RNAcentral lists this long non-coding RNA (1683 nucleotides) under Macaca fascicularis (crab-eating macaque). Its description in RNAcentral is "lncRNA (ENSMFAG00000048837.1)". Lineage: Eukaryota; Metazoa; Chordata; Mammalia; Primates; Cercopithecidae. The record is from RNAcentral.
CCAGAAUCACCAAUCGCAGACGAGCAGGUCACCGGGAUCAGCCGAUCACAGACGAGUGAGUCACCAGAAUCACCUGAUCACAGACGAGCGAGUCGCCGGGAUCGGCCAAUGCCGAUCACAGAGGAGCGAGUCACCGGAAUCGGCCGAUCACAGACGAGCAGUCACCGGAAUCGGCCGAUCACAGACGAGCAGUCACCGGGAUCGGCCGAUCACAGACGAGCGAGUUGCCGGAAUCACCUGAUCACAGACGAGCAGUCACCGGGAUCGCCCAAUCACAGACGAGCAGUCACCGGGAUCACCCGAUCACAGAUGAGCGAGUCGCCGGAAUCGGCCAAUCACAGACGAGCGAGUCGCCGGGAUCAGCCGAUCACAGCCCAUCACAAUUCCAAAGCCCUUGUGUUGAAGAGGCCGAGGACGAGCGGUCACCGAACAGGGCGGCUCCCCAGGUCCUGAAGCCUGAGACCUGAAGGACCCUGGCACCCUUACGCCCUCGGACUGCUGCCCUCCUCAGCCUCCCUGGCCUCAGCGCACCUCCACCCUGGGCCGCGUCUCCUGGUCCAAGGCUGCGUUUCUCCUUCUUCUGUCCAUGGGCAGCCCGGUCCCCACCGUCACAGCCAAGUCACACAGAACGAACAUGACUCCAGAGGACCUCGCCCUGGAGCUGAGCCUGGCGCCGGGUCAGGACGGAGGGACAGGCGGGUUAGUCCGCAGGUCCCCACACGCGCGGCAGGCACAGAGGCUCGCCAGGCCUUGCUGCGGCCUGUGGGGACGAGGGACACUGAGGAGAGAGGCACCAGGACCCCGACUCCUGGUCACUGGUUGGCCUCAGACAAGAAUGGCCUCAAGAACCAAGCGCAUCGGGAGCACACCAGAAACCGGCCCUGAGCACGAGAAACGUCUCCACCCAGCCCGGGCACCACCCGACCCCACAGGGAACAGGCCCUGUCACCGACGGGGCACUUCGUCCACGCGGCCAGCACCGACUCACCACAGCCCUUCCCAGACCUGGCUGGAGUGACCGGAGCGGCGGGGCUCGUGGCUCCCAUCGUGGCCCCUGGAGGUGAGCUCCUUCGCAGAAGCGGACCCUUCACUCUGAGGGAAGUCGUGGCCUGCAUUCCGAACCCUAGGACGCCCCUGUGGGUUUCGUGAAUGAGAUCGAGGCUGCUGUGGCACCCAGCCCGUCCUAGCCUGGAGCACCGUGGGCUCCUGGAGGGAGAGGCCCCACACCCCCGCUCUCCCUCCGCACUUCCAGGGUUGGUGCCCACGAGUCAGAGGCACGGCCUCCCCAGUGUCCCGCCCUCCCUCAACGGCCCCCAGGCUUUCCUCAGACAUGCGGGAGCCAGGAGAGCACCCUUCUCCACUCGGCUCCAAAGCGAAUCUUUGAAAACACCCGCUCUGCUCCCGUUUCUGUCACCUAGCCAGGAGGGGUAGCAAAAAUUAAGUCACGAGGGCAUAGUGGUCACCAUUGUCAGUUACAGUUUGUCUGUGGAAUCUGUGAUUGCAUCUGUGCGCCGCCUCCAAACACAGAACAUUGUUUGGACAGCAGCCCCACUGCACGUAACAGACCCGUGCAUCUUCCUCAGUCAGUUUCUGAAUAUUGUGAAUUCAGGCAGGUGUGUGUUCUCUUCUGCAUGUUUUUAUGCACUGCCAAUUAGCUUCUACUAACCAUGGUUCAACAGAAAA